AUCUGGGAUAGCCCAGACGGUAGAGCAUGAGACUCUUGAUCUCAAGUUCAUGGGUUCAAGCCCCAUGUUGGACA
Non-coding RNA from Podarcis lilfordi (Lilford's wall lizard), 74 nucleotides. Lineage: Eukaryota; Metazoa; Chordata; Lepidosauria; Squamata; Lacertidae. The record is from the annotation of a GenBank genome assembly.